This 554-nucleotide ribosomal RNA is filed under the name Megaphragma noyesi. Its description in RNAcentral is "partial large subunit ribosomal RNA". Lineage: Eukaryota; Metazoa; Arthropoda; Insecta; Hymenoptera; Trichogrammatidae. The record is from RNAcentral.
AAACCGUUCAGGGGUAAACCUGAGAAACCCAAAAGAUCGAAUGGGGAGAUUCAUCGCCAGCUUUAACGGCUUGCGUGCUGCUCGCGAUGCUCGUCUUGGGGACGUGUUAAAGCGUUCUUUUUUGACGGGCACGCGGUAGCUGCGCAAUUUUGUGUCGUUGAAGUCGGUGUGCACUUCUCCCCUAGUAGGACGUCGCGACCCGUUGAGUGUCGGUCUAAGGCCCGCGAGGUUGACUGCCGGCGCGUUGAUUUUUCGAAAUUGACGUCGUCGGUAGACCCGCGGUCGCCCGACCGACUGCUCGGCGGUAUAAAUUGUUUGAAUGUUCAAUGGUAUCGAGCCGCAUUUUUUUAUGCGUUCUUUAUGACUCGUCGGCAGGUGAGCCUCGCCUCGGAUUUACGGACCUGGUGCCGUUGUCGAGCGAGUCGUUUGCCGUUUUGCCGACGAUGUUCUCGGACGGGCUCUAUAAAGGCGCGCGUUCGCGCGCGCCUUUUGUUACCAGUCAGCGACGCUACUGCUUUGGGUACUUUCAGGACCCGUCUUGAAACACGGACCAA